RNAcentral lists this ribosomal RNA (253 nucleotides) under uncultured bacterium. RNAcentral describes it as "partial 16S ribosomal RNA". It matches the Rfam family "Bacterial small subunit ribosomal RNA", at positions 524 to 776 of the family's 1533-position model. The record is from RNAcentral.
UACGUAGGGUGCAAGCGUUAUCCGGAAUCACUGGGCGUAAAGCGUGCGUAGGCGGAAGUUUAAGUGAGGUGUUAAAUCGUGUGGCUCAACCAUAUCGAUGCAUCUCAUACUGGGCUUCUAGAGGAUGGCAGAGGCAAGUGGAAUUGGUAGUGUAGCAGUGAAAUGCGUAGAUAUUACCAGGAACACCAAUGGCGAAGGCAGCUUGCUGGGCCACACCUGACGCUGAGUCACGAAAGCGUGGGGAGCGAACAGG